RNAcentral lists this ribosomal RNA (430 nucleotides) under uncultured Basidiomycota. Its description in RNAcentral is "eukaryotic LSU rRNA". The stretch from base 1 to 125 matches the Rfam family "5.8S ribosomal RNA", at positions 30 to 154 of the family's 154-position model. Lineage: Eukaryota; Fungi; Basidiomycota. The record is from RNAcentral.
GCAUCGAUGAAGAACGCAGCGAAAUGCGAUAAGUAAUGUGAAUUGCAGAAUUCAGUGAAUCAUCGAAUCUUUGAACGCACCUUGCGCUCCUUGGUAUUCCGAGGAGCAUGCCUGUUUGAGUGUCAUGAAACCCUCAAACCCAAGUUUUGGAUUUCGAUCCAUGCUUGAGUUUGGAUUUGGAUGUUUGCCGGUGAUGAACCGACUCAUCUUAAAAGUAUUAGCUUGGAUCUGUCUAUAUGACUGGUUUGACUUGGCAUAAUAAGUAUUUUGCUGAGGACAUCUUCGGAUGGCCAGGACCUAGACUACUGUCUGCUAACUAAACCAUCACUUUAAGUGCAUCUUUGGAUGUUACUCAUUGUGUAACUUUGACAUCUGGCCUCAAAUCAAGUAGGACUACCCGCUGAACUUAAGCAUAUCAAUAAGCGGAGGA